This 253-nucleotide ribosomal RNA is filed under the name uncultured bacterium. RNAcentral's name for it is "partial 16S ribosomal RNA". It matches the Rfam family "Bacterial small subunit ribosomal RNA", at positions 524 to 776 of the family's 1533-position model. The record is from RNAcentral.
UACGUAGGGUGCAAGCGUUAAUCGGAAUUACUGGGCGUAAAGCGUGCGCAGGCGGUUGUGCAAGACAGGUGUGAAAUCCCCGGGCUUAACCUGGGAACUGCACUCGUGACUGCACGGCUGGAGUACGGCAGAGGGGGAUGGAAUUCCGCGUGUAGCAGUGAAAUGCGUAGAUAUGCGGAGGAACACCGAUGGCGAAGGCAGUCCCCUGGGCCUGUACUGACGCUCAUGCACGAAAGCGUGGGGAGCAAACAGG